Molecule: ribosomal RNA, 545 nt
Filed under: uncultured bacterium
Lineage: Bacteria
Description: bacterial SSU rRNA
Rfam family: Bacterial small subunit ribosomal RNA
Source: RNAcentral
AUUAGCUAGUUGGUGAGGUAACGGCUCACCAAGGCAACGAUCAGUAGCCGACCUGAGAGGGUGAUCGGCCACACUGGAACUGAGACACGGUCCAGACUCCUACGGGAGGCAGCAGUGGGGAAUAUUGCACAAUGGGCGAAAGCCUGAUGCAGCAACGCCGCGUGAGCGAUGAAGGCCUUCGGGUCGUAAAGCUCUGUCCUAUGGGAAGAUAAUGACGGUACCAUAGGAGGAAGCCCCGGCUAACUACGUGCCAGCAGCCGCGGUAAUACGUAGGGGGCAAGCGUUAUCCGGAAUUACUGGGCGUAAAGGGUGCGUAGGCGGUUUAUCAAGUCAGGGGUGAAAGGCUACGGCUCAACCGUAGUGAGCCUCUGAAACUGGUGAACUUGAGUGUAGGAGAGGAAAGUGGAAUUCCCAGUGUAGCGGUGAAAUGCGUAGAUAUUGGGAGGAACACCAGUGGCGAAGGCGACUUUCUGGACUACAACUGACGCUGAGGCACGAAAGCGUGGGGAGCAAACAGGAUUAGAUACCCUGGUAGUCUACGCUGU